RNAcentral lists this ribosomal RNA (20 nucleotides) under Anopheles jeyporiensis. Its description in RNAcentral is "partial 28S ribosomal RNA". Lineage: Eukaryota; Metazoa; Arthropoda; Insecta; Diptera; Culicidae. The record is from RNAcentral.
GGCCUCAUGUGAUGUAGAAA